ACUGGAGGGAAAGCCUGGUGCCAGCAGCCCGCGGUAAUUCCAGCUCCAGCAGCGUAUGUUUAUAUUGCUGCGUUUAAAAAGCUCGUAGUUGGACCGUCGGACACGGGAGGGCGGUCGGUGUAAGCGCCGCACUGCUCGGACCGUACCAAGCGCGGUCGGCGUCGGCGACGGCACUUGAUUGCGGUCGUCGUCGGCCCGUCGCAGAUUCACCUUGAAGAAAGUGAACCGCUCAAAGGAGGCGUUCCGCUCGAACGAUACAGCAUGGUAUGAUGAAACAAGCGCUCGAGUUGCUUUGUUGGUUGGAAGGCUCGAACGAAUGAUUAAAUGGGUUGGCAUUUUCCGGGC
This 345-nucleotide ribosomal RNA is filed under the name Nephrops norvegicus (Norway lobster). Its description in RNAcentral is "bacterial SSU rRNA". It matches the Rfam family "Eukaryotic small subunit ribosomal RNA", at positions 547 to 893 of the family's 1831-position model. Lineage: Eukaryota; Metazoa; Arthropoda; Malacostraca; Decapoda; Nephropidae. The record is from RNAcentral.